Molecule: transfer RNA, 74 nt
Filed under: Planctomycetota bacterium
Lineage: Bacteria; Pseudomonadati; Planctomycetota
Also listed under: 1 other name
Description: tRNA-Pro
Rfam family: tRNA
About the family: Transfer RNA (tRNA) molecules are approximately 80 nucleotides in length. Their secondary structure includes four short double-helical elements and three loops (D, anti-codon, and T loops).
Source: RNAcentral
CGGGGAAUAGCUCAGCUUGGUAGAGCGCUGUGUUCGGGACGCAGAGGCCGCUGGUUCGAAUCCAGUUUCCCCGA